This 25-nucleotide non-coding RNA is filed under the name Drosophila erecta. RNAcentral also lists the same sequence under 1 other name. The record is from RNAcentral. Lineage: Eukaryota; Metazoa; Arthropoda; Insecta; Diptera; Drosophilidae.
UUCUGACUUGUCGCGGUCGUAGAUG